GGGCCCGCACAAGCGGUGGAGCAUGUGGUUCAAUUCGACGCAACGCGAAGAACCUUACCUGGGCUAGACAACAGCGGACCGUCCUAGAAAUAGGAUUUUCCCUUCGGGGACCGCUGGUUCAGGUGCUGCAUGGCUGUCGUCAGCUCGUGCCGUGAGGUGUUGGGUUAAGUCCCGCAACGAGCGCAACCCUCGUACUUAGUUGCCACCAUUCAGUUGGGCACUCUAAGUAGACUGCCGGCGUUAAGCCGGAGGAAGGUGGGGACGACGUCAAGUCAUCAUGGCCCUUAUGUCCAGGGCCACACACGUGCUACAAUGGGCGGUACAAAGGGUCGCUAACCUGCGAAGGGGAGCUAAUCCCAAAAAGCCGCUCUCAGUUCGGAUUGGAGUCUGCAACUCGACUCCAUGAAGCUGGAAUCGCUAGUAAUCGCGGAUCAGCACGCCGCGGUGAAUACGUUCCCGGGCCUU
Molecule: ribosomal RNA, 465 nt
Filed under: uncultured bacterium
Lineage: Bacteria
Description: bacterial SSU rRNA
Rfam family: Bacterial small subunit ribosomal RNA
Source: RNAcentral